UACGUAGGGUGCGAGCGUUAAUCGGAAUUACUGGGCGUAAAGCGUGCGCAGGCGGCGAUGUAAGACAGUUGUGAAAUCCCCGGGCUCAACCUGGGAACUGCAUCUGUGACUGCAUCGCUGGAGUGCGGCAGAGGGGGAUGGAAUUCCGCGUGUAGCAGUGAAAUGCGUAGAUAUGCGGAGGAACACCGAUGGCGAAAGCAAUCCCCUGGGCCUGCACUGACGCUCAUGCACGAAAGCGUGGGGAGCAAACAGG
Molecule: ribosomal RNA, 253 nt
Filed under: uncultured bacterium
Lineage: Bacteria
Description: partial 16S ribosomal RNA
Rfam family: Bacterial small subunit ribosomal RNA
Source: RNAcentral